UUUCAUUACAUUAAAUCCCUUUGAGAUUUUAUGGGUGUAUUUCUUCUCGAGGGAAGUUCUGAGUAGUGCAACAAUCUAUUUUGUGAAUACAGCUGAGAAGAGUUAGAUAUUAGAUGAAUAGUACUCACUAGCAAUUUUUUGAUUCGUCCCCAUCAUGUGAAUCCCAUACAGUUGUUGUCAUUAAAUAUUAGUACUACAACUUAUAGGUCAUACUUGUGAGGCAUGUUUCGUAGGCAGUAUUAGAUCAAACUGGACAUUAAUAGAUAAGAUUUAAUUCAUUUCCCAUACAUGCCUACAUGCAUGCAGCAUCACCAACAAUAAAGAUUUUGAUGUUAAAAUUUUUGCCAAGUUGCUUCACAUCUACACCGUUUUUUACACAGCGAACAAAAUUUGAUUUUAAGAACUUUGGCAUUUUCU
RNAcentral lists this long non-coding RNA (417 nucleotides) under Olea europaea subsp. europaea. Lineage: Eukaryota; Viridiplantae; Streptophyta; Magnoliopsida; Lamiales; Oleaceae. The record is from RNAcentral.